RNAcentral lists this unclassified non-coding RNA (791 nucleotides) under Melitaea cinxia (Glanville fritillary). RNAcentral's name for it is "misc RNA ENSMCXG00005000425.1". Lineage: Eukaryota; Metazoa; Arthropoda; Insecta; Lepidoptera; Nymphalidae. The record is from RNAcentral.
UUUUGUUAGACUGUGUUAAGUUUAGUUGUUGAACUAUUUUGUUUAAGUUUUGCUGCGCACACGCAAUAAAAUGGCCGCUUUUUCCAACGAAGAAUACGCUGAAAUGUUAUUGGUUUAUGGAAGGGCCAAUUCUAAUGGUCACGAAGCCCGACCUAUUUAUCAAGAGCUGUAUCCCAACAGAUGCUUACCGAGUCAUCAAAGCUUUGGAAAUACCUAUCGACAUUUACGUGAGACGGGAAGUCUACAAAAAUUUAACUUCAUGUCAAUCAAAGGCAACCAAAUGUAGCUGUUGAGGAACGCAUACUCGAAAAAUUUGAGGAAGAUCCCACCACAAGUAUAAAAAAAGUGGCUGAGAUACUCAAUAUCAGUCCAUGGAAAGUGUGGUCAGUUCUUCGCGCAGACGGAAAACACGCCUUUCAUUACACCCGUGUGCAAGAGCUAGAAGAUAAUGAUUUUCACCAGCGUGUGCAAUAUUGCAGAUUAAUUUUGCACACCGAUAUUGAAAAUGAAAACUUUUUAAAAGUAUCUUAUGGACAGACGAGUCUAAAUUCACUCGUGAGGGAAUACUCAACUUACAUAACCUACAUCCAUUGGGCGCCGAAAAGUGAAAAUCCUAAAUUAAAGAAAGAAGCACGCUUCCAAAGAAAGUUCUGAGUAAAUGUGUGGGCAGGAGUAAUUAGAAAUAAUGUGAUUGGACCGCAUAUCUUACCAGACAAUUUAAACGGAGAUAAUUAUUUGGAGUUCCUACAAAAUGAUUUACUGGAACUCACAUGGAAUUUGCCAAUAAUAGA